Long non-coding RNA from Plodia interpunctella (Indianmeal moth), 770 nucleotides. RefSeq lists it as uncharacterized. The record is from RefSeq and is a predicted model, not a curated record. NCBI's taxonomy places the organism in Eukaryota, Metazoa, Arthropoda, Insecta, Lepidoptera, Pyralidae. The transcript has 3 exons.
GGCCUCGCGCGCGGGUUCGGAACUACCAAAACAUACUUAUAUAAAAAAUGGUCCCUGGCAGAUAAUGACAUUUCAAUAGAAAAUUUCCAAUUUUGAUCGUCGCGAGGUCGUUGACAUUAUGGAUGUUUUUGACAACUGUGGUUUUCUAUCAACAAGAUAAAAGAUCAUUACAAUACCUACGGAAAUUUCUAUCUCUGUCUGUUAUAAAUGAAUAAAAAUAUAAAAUAAAAAUGUCACACGGCAUGUUUACAAACGUACUUUGGUAUUUGGAAUUUUUUGCUUUUAUAAUUUUAUUGGUAUUAUUUUUCAUGCUAGUACUGUAUAUAGCUAGUUUGAACUACGUCUACUACAAUCCCCGCUAUGAUAAGCUUAAAAAAUACAUGUCUGACGACACUUGGCUGAUUCAGGCGUAAAAAUAGUUGAUUUUCUAUAUACCUACGUCUAGUGAAUGCAAACCAAUCAAGUUGCCGGAGAUGUACAGCCCCAGACUCAAGCUGCAAAGAAGUUCAUCAGAAUAGACCAUGAGAAAGAACAAAAAAUAUACCGAAUUAAUCAACACCCGCAUAUGGUCCUACGACCAACACGCCAGAGACCAGUGUGCUUUGAAAGUGACUGUGUUUGGUUUUGCCGUUUAAUGUUCAGUAUAUUAACUAUUGCCUUAUGUUAUUAUUUCGCGUACGCCUUUCUUUCUGAUACUAAACUCAGGUUUGGUAUAUUUGUGCCAUAGUUAUUAUUACGCCGACAUUAAAUAAAAAAACUUUAAGUAGAUA